RNAcentral lists this ribosomal RNA (492 nucleotides) under uncultured bacterium. RNAcentral describes it as "partial 16S ribosomal RNA". It matches the Rfam family "Bacterial small subunit ribosomal RNA", at positions 29 to 507 of the family's 1533-position model. The record is from RNAcentral.
AGUGGACGCUGGCGGUAGGCCUAACACAUGCAAGUCGAACGGCAGCACAGUAAGAGCUUGCUCUUACGGGUGGCGAGUGGCGGACGGGUGAGGAAUACAUCGGAAUCUACUUUUUCGUGGGGGAUAACGUAGGGAAACUUACGCUAAUACCGCAUACGACCUACGGGUGAAAGCAGGGGAUCUUCUGACCUUGCGCGAUUGAAUGAGCCGAUGUCGGAUUAGCUAGUUGGCGGGGUAAAGGCCCACCAAGGCGACGAUCCGUAGCUGGUCUGAGAGGAUGAUCAGCCACACUGGAACUGAGACACGGUCCAGACUCCUACGGGAGGCAGCAGUGGGGAAUAUUGGACAAUGGGCGCAAGCCUGAUCCAGCCAUACCGCGUGGGUGAAGAAGGCCUUCGGGUUGUAAAGCCCUUUUGUUGGGAAAGAAAAGCAGCAGGUUAAUACCCCGCUGUUCUGACGGUACCCAAAGAAUAAGCACCGGCUAACUUCGUG